Pelmatolapia mariae (spotted tilapia) is the source of this 309-nucleotide long non-coding RNA. RefSeq lists it as uncharacterized. The transcript has 3 exons. NCBI's taxonomy places the organism in Eukaryota, Metazoa, Chordata, Actinopteri, Cichliformes, Cichlidae. The record is from RefSeq and is a predicted model, not a curated record.
UCACCCAGCCCAGCCUGCCGAUCCACGCCAGUCCGUUAGUCGUCUUACAGCGAUAACAGCUCGGCGUGUUUUUGAGCCACCUGCCUGUCCACCUGCCCGCCUGGAGUUUGAUCACUGUCAAUAGCCUUCUCCUCGCCUUCCUGGUGCUCCCCGCGGACCCUCACCCCUCCCUCCGGCUUCCACGGCCCCGCUUUGACUCCUCCCACGGUCCCGUUCCCGGCGUUCCUGCGCGACUCUCUUCCCGGUGCCUCGUUUUCUCUAGUUUCACGUGUGUUGUUCUUUUACCCUCCCGGGACACCCUUGGUUAAA